GUCCACGCCUUAAACGAUGAAUACUCGGUGCUGGGCCGUAAGGUUCAGUGCCAAAGCUAACGCAUUAAGUAUUCCACCUGGGGAGUACGAUCGCAAGGUUGAAACUACAAAAGGAAUUGGACGGGGGCCCGCACAAGCAGUGGAGCAUGUGGUUCAAUUCGAUGCAACGCGAAGAACCUUACCCGGAUUUGAAAGGCCAGCGACAACCGAUGAAAGUCGGUCUUGUAGCAAUGCACGCUGGUACAGGUGCUGCAUGGCUGUUGU
This 264-nucleotide ribosomal RNA is filed under the name uncultured bacterium. Its description in RNAcentral is "partial 16S ribosomal RNA". It matches the Rfam family "Bacterial small subunit ribosomal RNA", at positions 793 to 1055 of the family's 1533-position model. The record is from RNAcentral.